GCUUACUAUCAUGGAAUAGAAGUUCUGGCAGAGUUGGCAAAAACUGGAAGUUGUCCUCUCAUUUACAAAAAAAUUUAUAUUUUCUUCCUUUUGACAAAAACCUGAAACUUUAAGACUGAGCGUCUCCCUGCCGCGCUGAGCCUGUCCUGCCUUCCCGGGCUUCCUGCCCAUCAGCCUGCGGAGCGACCCCGGCCGGGACCGCGAAGGUGCAGCGGCUGUUGGCGGCGUCCUUCCCGCUGUGCUUGGAGGAGAGAGGGCGAGACAGCCCCUUCCUUCCCCCUUACGUUCGGUUGCUGAAUAUUAGGAAGAAUUUGCUCCAGGAAGUGACUAAUCCAAAGAAGAUGAAAGAUCUCUGGAGUGAAUGUGGUGCUGAUGCGCGCUAUGGAGCCAGCCCACAGCCGGGAGCAGUCACGCCAGCCAAGUGAAAGACCUGUGCAAAAGAAAAAUUGAUGCUUUUAUUAUAAUCCCCUGAGUUUUGGGGUACUUUGUGUCAGAUAAAUUCUAGCCGAAAUAAGCAGGUGACGAGAGGCAACAAAGGGCCAGGCAGUUUAUUUGAAUGCAAUUCCUAGGUGAUAUUCUCCUGUCUGGCUAUCACAGGCCGCGGAAGUCACACACAGCAGACCAGGCAGUGAGUUUUUAAAGAAGGUAGGGGGAGGCAGAGCUUAGAUUUACAGCAGCGCGAGGAUUGGCUAGCCUAAGGCACAUUUUUCAGGUUGGGAGGGGGCAGCAGCGGGGACUUUGGCACGUCAUCAGUGUCUGACGUGCUCACCCCUCUCCCCAGUGCCUUCAACCUUACACUUUGUUAUUCUGUAUUAUUGCACCAGUAGCUGACUG
Molecule: long non-coding RNA, 834 nt
Organism: Manis javanica (Malayan pangolin)
Lineage: Eukaryota; Metazoa; Chordata; Mammalia; Pholidota; Manidae
Source: RefSeq, a predicted model, not a curated record